Molecule: transfer RNA, 73 nt
Filed under: Xenopus tropicalis (tropical clawed frog)
Lineage: Eukaryota; Metazoa; Chordata; Amphibia; Anura; Pipidae
Description: tRNA-Arg (TCT) (tRNA-Arg-TCT-49-1, tRNA-Arg-TCT-49-2)
Rfam family: tRNA
About the family: Transfer RNA (tRNA) molecules are approximately 80 nucleotides in length.
Source: RNAcentral
GGCUCUGUGGCGCAAUGGAUAGCGCAUUGGACUUCUAAUUCAAAGGUUGUGGCUUAGAAUCCCACCAGAGUCG